UAAGGAAUAUUGGUCAAUGGACGCAAGUCUGAACCAGCCAUGCCGCGUGAAGGGUUAAGGCCCUCUGGGUUGUAAACUUCUUUUAUAGGGGAAGAAAUGUGACGGUUCUCCGUCACUUGACGGUACCCUGGGAAUAAGCACCGGCUAACUCCGUGCCAGCAGCCGCGGUAAUACGGAGGGUGCAAGCGUUAUCCGGAUUCACUGGGCUUAAAGGGUGCGUAGGUGGGCAGAUAAGUCAGUGGUGAAAUCUUCCGGCUUAACCGGGAAACUGCCGUUGAUACUAUGUGUCUUGAAUAUUGCUGAGGUAAGCGGAAUAUGUCAUGUAGCGGUGAAAUGCUUAGAUAUGACAUAGAACACCAAUUGCGAAGGCAGCUUACUACACAAUCAUUGACACUGAGGCACGAAAGCGUGGGUAGCGAACA
This 422-nucleotide ribosomal RNA is filed under the name uncultured bacterium. RNAcentral's name for it is "bacterial SSU rRNA". It matches the Rfam family "Bacterial small subunit ribosomal RNA", at positions 355 to 774 of the family's 1533-position model. The record is from RNAcentral.